Molecule: ribosomal RNA, 476 nt
Filed under: uncultured bacterium
Lineage: Bacteria
Description: bacterial SSU rRNA
Rfam family: Bacterial small subunit ribosomal RNA
Source: RNAcentral
ACUCCUACGGGAGGCAGCAGUAGGGAAUAUUGGACAAUGGGCGCAAGCCUGAUCCAGCCAUGCCGCGUGAGUGAAGAAGGCCCUCGGGUUGUAAAGCUCUUUUGUUGGGGAAGAAAAGCCUUGGGUUAAUACCCCGGGUCCGUGACGGUACCCAAAGAAUCAAGCACCGGACUAACGUUCAUGUGCCAGCAGCCGCGGUAAUACGAAGGGUGCAAGCGUUACUCGGAAUUACUGGGCGUAAAGCGUGCGUAGGUGGUUCGUUAAGUCUGAUGUGAAAGCCCUGGGCUCAACCUGGGAAUUGCAUUGGAUACUGGCGGGCUAGAGUGCGGUAGAGGGUAGUGGAAUUCCCGGUGUAGCAGUGAAAUGCGUAGAGAUCGGGAGGAACAUCUGUGGCGAAGGCGACUGCCUGGACCAGCACUGACACUGAGGCACGAAAGCGUGGGGAGCAAACAGGAUUAGAUACCCUGGUAGGCUCU